Amborella trichopoda is the source of this 5130-nucleotide long non-coding RNA. RefSeq lists it as uncharacterized. Lineage: Eukaryota; Viridiplantae; Streptophyta; Magnoliopsida; Amborellales; Amborellaceae. The record is from RefSeq and is a predicted model, not a curated record.
CAAGCUCUCACUCUCUCUAUAAAUCAGCCCAGGCUCUCGAUUAUUUUAUUUGUUUUUAUAGAAAAAUACAUAUAUCCAUGGGCUGGUAUAUCAGAUAUUUGAUGAGAUAGUACAUGCAUAUAUUAUGUCUAUAUAUUGUUGGAUUAAACUAUAGCUUAGAAAAAUGGUAUUGUUUACUCAAUAUGGGUAUUGCUUUCCUAAAUUGGAGAUGCAAAUAUCUUUAUCCCUUUUUUUUUUGUAUCAAAUUUGAUUAUCUGUGUUUUAACUAUCCAUCGCUUUGUUUAGCUCUAUGUGUGUAUGAGAGAGAGAGAGAGAGAGAGAGAGAGAGAGAGAGAUUCGUGUAUGUGAUUAAAUGCAUUAAAAUAAUUUAUCAAUCGAAAGCUACAACUUUAGUAUGAAGUUUUGCUUGAAUUUGAAAUGCAUUCAAAUCAUUUAUAAGGCCAAAAGUUUGCUUGCUAGGUUCUUUGAAAUUAGUGGUAUAUGUUCACAUCUAUAAAGUCAUUUGGUUUUGUUUGAUUUUGCAAAUGAAAGGCAAUGUGCUAGUGUAAAAGACAUUGGAGCUCAUAUUCUCACUCUUAGAUAUGAACUGGUUUUAGCAGAAAAUUGCAUGUUCAUCUUAAAGGUUGGGUCAUCUUUUGAGGCUCUUUAUUUGAAGACUACUUUCCAUCAUUUACUAAAAGAUCGAGAGCCGUUAUCGGGGUAAAAUCGUAUAGAUUGCAAUAUUCAUAUAAUUAUUGCUAGAAAUGUUUAUAUAGGUUAUAUACCCCCCAAAAAUAUGCCUAGCUCUUGUUAAAAUUUAAUAGUAGCUCUUUUUACAAAAAUCUAGCUUGAGCCUACCAAAUUUGGGCAAGUUCAAGGCCAGUAUUAAGACAUUGUAUAUGCAAUGUGUGAAGUGUAAGUUAUUACAAAUCUUGUGCAGGACAAGAGAAAAUGAGUGAUAACAGAUUGUACAUUUUUAUUGACCGUAGAAUCAAGUGUCGAUGUAAUUUGAGAUUAUAUUGGUGGUGAUGCAUGUACCUUUUUUAUUGAUAGUAGAAUUAGGUUAGAUGACAUGCAAAAAUACAUAGCAGAUUGUUUCUCACUUGACAUAUACUUGAUAUCAUUGAGGUAUUUUGUUUCAAGAAAUAGAAGAUUUAUUGUGAUUAUUCAUUGACAAAGAUAUUGAGAUGAUGUUGAACGCUCAUGACGGCGAGAAUGAUGUGAUCAUCCAUGUAUUUGAUGGGAGUGAACGUAGGGGUGGAAGUAUUUCAUAUAAUUCUAUGGCAAUCGAAGAGGUCAGAUCCCCCAAAUCCUUUAAUGUUUUCGUCUCUUGUUCUGAACAAAGCAAUGCCUCAGUUUAUGGGAGGAUGUACUUACCAGGGCAUGGGAGGAGUUUGAAUAACUGGAUGACUUUCUAGAAGCCCUUAGCGCGUUUGCUAUAGCACAUCAUUUCACAUAUUGUUUUGUUAAAAAUUAGGGGUAUCACAUAAGGGCGAAAUGCAAGGGUGAUGGAUGUAAAUGGGAGAGAUAUACUUCGAAGUUUGGUAGGAUGAAUGUUUUUAAAUCAAAACAUGAAAAAGAGAACACUCAUAUAAUAUUGGGACAAGCAAUGAUGUACAGAGAAGAGAGCCAUAAAAAUUUGUUGUUUCCUUAAUUAAAGAUAAAUUAAGUGACAAUGCGCAUUACAAUGCUAAAGAAACCACGAGUGAUUUGUCUCGAUAUAUUGGGAUAGAACUACCCUAUUGAAAUGCUUGGCGAGGGAAAGAAACGGCUAUCAUGGCCAUACAUGGUUCACAAGAGGAGGCAUAUAACCAGUUAUCGACAUAUGUAAAUUGUGUGAUGGACACGAAUCUUGAGAGUUAUGCAACAUGACACAUAUGACCGGAUGGUAGAUUUCAUCGUUUAUUCUUAAGCUUUUAUAGCUCAAUACAUAGCUUUAAAAGUGGAUGUCGUCCACUUUUAUUUUUCGAUGGAACAUCAUUAAAGACACGAUACUUUGGGACUCUACUUGUAGCCAACUCACUUGAUGGAGAAGAACAAAUAUUUCCUGUUAACUGAUUAUGAUUUAUAGAAUCUUUGAAGAUUUUAUUGGGACAUAUUGUGAAAUCGUUUUUGUGUCAGAUAGAUAUUAGGGGUCUAGUUGAGACUGCUUGUCAAGUUUUUGAGAAUGCCCAUCAUACUUUUUGUGAGUGCCAUUUAGUGAAAAAAUUCAUGAAGGAAGAAAAACAUAUACCUAAUGAUGUUAAGACGGUCGUUGUAAGUGCCUUUGUCGGAGCAUGUAGAGCAUACAAACAUCAAGAGUAUUUUGGCAAGAUGAGUGAAAUUAAAUCAAUUUCGGAUGAUGCAUUCAAGUGAUUCAUGGAAGCAUCUCUAAACCAAUGGGCCACAUCACUCUUCAGGAGUGAGCGAUAUGGCCAAGUAACAACCAAUGUGGCUGAGUCAUUUAAUAAGUGGAUUCUAAAAGCACGAGAUAUACCAAUUCUCCAGUACGUUGAUUUGAUUAGGAAGCAAAUAAUGAAAUUAAUGGCCAUCUGCAGCUUCGAAGCUAAAACCCAAACUACAAUACUUACCCCACACACUCAAGAUGAACUGAGAAAGAUCAUAAAGCUAUCUCUUUCUGUGAGUGUCAUUGUAUCAAAUAGAUGAGUGUUUGAAGCAAGGGGUGAUCACAUGAAUUAUAAGAUAAAUAUUAUUGUACGAGAAUGUGAAUGCCGUGGUUGGGAAAUGAUGGCUUUACCUUGCAAGCAUGCUUGUAAAGCCCUUCAAUGGAUGAAUAGGGAUCCUAUUGACUUUUGUGAAGACUAUUUAGAGGUUGAAAAAUAUCGUGAAACAUAUUUCGAAGCUAUCAUGCCAGUUACCUUGAUCGACCUGUCUGAGCAUAGUUUGUGUGGACAACUUCCUCCAAAUGGAUUAAGAGUGCUUCCACCUCAUUCAAGACGUCCCUUUGACCGACAUAAAAAGAAAAACAUUCGUAGUUGGAAGUACUAGUGUGACCUACCCACUGUAGUCAGUGCAAAAGAACUGGUCACAAUAUGGCAACAUGUAAAGCACCUACUUGAAAGCAUAUAUUUUUACUUAUCUUCUUUACUUUAUCUUUUUUAAUUAGAUCACCCACUUGUGGGAAAUUUUGUUAGUACAUAUAUUAAUGGCGUUUAUUCUACUUAUAUUCAUUUCGUGCUAUUGGCACACAUAUAAUUAUGUUUGUUUCUUUCCCAUUGGAGCACCAUCAUUUGUUUUGUAUGGGCCAUUUUCUCUCUUUUUUUAUUGGAGCAUCUUCUUGUGGUUAUUUAUUUCCAAUUCAUAUGUACAUACUUUUAAAAUGAUGUGUUGUGUACAUGUAAAACUUUGAUAAUUUAAAUAGAUUUAGUGAUGCAAGACCUGAAACAACCAAGAGGAACAGGUGACCCAUCCACUUCGUCCGAUCAAAGGCAAGAGGUACAAUGGUCUAUUUGUUUUAGUUUACAUUAAUUGGGUAAUUAUCAUAUUGUUAAUAACUAUUGUCAUUUCUUAUUGAAUUUCAUUUCAGGAGAGAAAAAAUAUUUGUAUUGACAAAUCAACUAAAACCUUAGAAAAAUGGGAGCUCUAUCGACAAUGAGUAGCUCUGGUUCAAACGACCAAAUUGAGCUCAUUAAUAGACAUUAAGGUCUCUUAUAUGGAUUGCAAACUAUUGAAGGCCUUUAUAGGGAAAUGAUACACAGAGAUAAAUACCACACGACUAACCAUUGGUGAGAUGACUUUAACCCUAUACACUGUGUUGUAGAUAUUAAUGAUACCUGUGACAUGCGAGUAUAUUCCUAGAAGAUAAUAAGUUGAUGCAUUUUAAUCAUACAUGGUUGAGGACGAGAUUCAGGCAACUACCAAACAAGCCCAAUAAAGUACAACUGAUGCAACACACUCGAGCAUAUGUUCUUUAUUUAGUCAGUACGAUUAUAUUUGCUGACGCAUCUAAAAGAUUGACACUUGCAAUUUAUAUGCAAUUGUUUCGAUAUUUCAAUAAGGCAAGGAAGUAUGUAGGGGGUAUUGCGGCGUUUGCCUUCUUGUAUCGUUCCUUAUCUAAGGUCGUGGGUGGGGAUACGAUGCAUUUUAUUGGGUCAGCAACACUUAAAGCUUUACAAUUUCUUUGGCUUCUUAUGAUUUGCUUUUACUAUUUUUGGUGCAGUGCUGAGUCUAUGAGCAUUUUUCAAAAACCACUCCACAAAGACCCAUUAAAAGCACUUGAUGAUAUCUCAUUUGACGUGGUGAUCUGGCAAGCAUAUGAGGAGUACAACCCAUUAGAUCUACUCAGUAAAGAAACCACGUUGUACUGAAUAUAGCUGAUAAAUUUCAACAUUGUAGAGUACUAUAUGCCCGAUCGCAUGUUGCGGUAAUUUGAGAAGAUGCAUGGGAUUUCUGUUGAGCCUCCAAAGUGGGAUAGGAGGGAGAGAUGAUCGGUAUACACCUCACAAGUUGGAUUAACGAGUUGAGCAGGCAAAUACGUGACUGGCGGGAACGAGAAUACAUGUCUUCAUGGAAGAUGUGGAUAAAUAUCAUGGAAUACCUACAGGAGAGUACAAGGCCUGACACAAAAUGUUUACCUACAGAUAUAGAAAUACCACAUGUCUUUCCCUACCGUCGCAAUCACAUGUACAAUCUGCCAUAGGCCAUGAUGACGACAAGAGAUUGAGCCAAGUUCCGAGGAGGUGGUGGAGCGUAGGAAAAUGAGAGCAACGUAGGAGAUGGUGAAGAAGAUGAAAGCGAGAGCGAGGAGGGAGAUGGUGGAGAGGAGGAAAAUGAGAGUGAGGAGGAAGAUAGUGGAGAGGAGGAAGCGAAAGUGAGGAAGGAGAUGGUGGAGUUGAUGAAAGCAAGAGCGAGGAGGACAAUGAGAGGAGAAUUAAUAGAAGAGAUGACCAGUUUGAAGUGUCCAUCCUUGCACCGGCCUUAUAUGAAGAAUCAAGGUAGAAUUUGUGAUCUCGAAGAGAGGGGGAUGCCCAGAGGAAACGAUUAUAGAGGAACCCGAUAUGAAUAAAAAGGGUAUUCCUAGUAGCCUAAAAAAGGUCGGAGGCGAAGAAAUUGACUAAUAUGUAGUUUUGAGUAUAAUAUGUACUUUUGAAACAUUUUUUGAGUUUGAUAUGUAUUUUUGAAAUAGAUCUAUAAGUAAUUUUACUUUUGAAA